RNAcentral lists this ribosomal RNA (206 nucleotides) under uncultured bacterium. Its description in RNAcentral is "partial 16S ribosomal RNA". It matches the Rfam family "Bacterial small subunit ribosomal RNA", at positions 568 to 774 of the family's 1533-position model. The record is from RNAcentral.
CGUGUAGGCGGUUUGGUAAGUGGGACGUGAAAUCCCUCGGCUCACCCGAGGACCUGCGUCCCAUACUGCCAGGCUAGAGUACGGGAGAGGAUGAAGGAAUUCCUGGUGUAGCGGUGAAAUGUGUAGAUAUCAGGAGGAACACCGGUGGCGAAGGCGUUCAUCUGGCCCGAUACUGACGCUGAGGCGCGAAAGCUAGGGAGCAAACG